CUGAUCGCACUAUAAGAGCAGCAUCCAGACAGCAGGAGGACGCCAGAGUGUUAACCGUAGUGGUUACCUCUCGAUCGCCUUUCAGAGGGUCUCACUCGUGCUGACUCCAGGUUCCCACAGGGUCCUCCCUUUCUCCUGGCUCCAAGCAAGGUGCUUCGAGCCACUCUGGUUUCUCCUGCUGCCCCGGAUCAUUAAGUAAGCGCAGCUCUGUCACCCUCAAGCCCGAGCCCCACCUGUCACUGAGACACCCGCCACCAGCUCCAUCGAUCAGAGCCUGAGUCCGCUCCGUCCUCCCCCGGUUAGGUUGCUGCGUCCGGUGAAGUCGAACGGGUCCCGGUGCUGUGGCUUCCCCGUCGACUCCGUUGCUUCCAUUUUCUCUCUCUCAAUAAACAGUUAACUGAUCCCUGUUGCCGUGUGUGUUCUGCAUGUGGGCUAAAUACGUUCAGCC
Cyprinodon tularosa is the source of this 448-nucleotide long non-coding RNA. RefSeq lists it as uncharacterized. The record is from RefSeq and is a predicted model, not a curated record. Lineage: Eukaryota; Metazoa; Chordata; Actinopteri; Cyprinodontiformes; Cyprinodontidae. The transcript has 3 exons.